GUGGCUGUAGGGUAUAGAGUGGCUGUAGGGUAUUAGGGUAUAGAGUGGCUGUAUGGUAUAGAGUGGCUGUAUGUUAUUAGGGUAUAGAGUGGCUGUAUGGUAUAGAGUGGCUGUAGGGUAUAGAGUGGCUGUAUGGUAUGGAGUGGCUGUAGGGUAUAGAGUGGCUGUAUGGUAUGGAGUGGCUGUAGGGUAUAGAGUGGCUGUAGGGUAUUAGGGUAUAGAGUGGCUGUAGGGUAUAGAGUGGCUGUAGGGUAUAGAGUGGCUGUAGGGUAUUAGGGUAUAGAGUGGCUGUAGGGUAUUAGGGUAUAGAGUGGCUGUAGGGUAUGGAGUGGCUGUAUGUUAUUAGGGUAUAGAGUGGCUGUAGGGUAUAGAGUGGCUGUAUGGUAUUAGGGUAUAGAGUGGCUGUAGGGUAUUAGGGUAUAGAGUGGCUGUAGGGUAUGGAGUGGCUGUAUGUU
This is a long non-coding RNA of Oncorhynchus tshawytscha (Chinook salmon), 455 nucleotides long. The record is from Ensembl. NCBI's taxonomy places the organism in Eukaryota, Metazoa, Chordata, Actinopteri, Salmoniformes, Salmonidae.